This 72-nucleotide transfer RNA is filed under the name Camelus bactrianus (Bactrian camel). It matches the Rfam family "tRNA". Rfam says of the family: Transfer RNA (tRNA) molecules are approximately 80 nucleotides in length. Their secondary structure includes four short double-helical elements and three loops (D, anti-codon, and T loops). The record is from Rfam by way of RNAcentral. Lineage: Eukaryota; Metazoa; Chordata; Mammalia; Artiodactyla; Camelidae. RNAcentral also lists the same sequence under 2 other names.
AUGGCUAUAGCUCAAUGGUAGAGCGCAUGCCUUGUAUGCACAAGGUCCUGGGUUCACUCCCCAGAACCUAUG